This 478-nucleotide ribosomal RNA is filed under the name uncultured bacterium. RNAcentral describes it as "bacterial LSU rRNA". It matches the Rfam family "Bacterial large subunit ribosomal RNA", at positions 1334 to 1800 of the family's 2925-position model. The record is from RNAcentral.
UCGCCGAAAGCCCAAGGUUUCCUGCGCAACGUUCAUCGGCGCAGGGUGAGUCGGCCCUAAGGCGAGGCCGAAAGGCGUAGUCGAUGGGAAACGGUCAAUAUUCCCGUACCGAUCACGGAUGCGAUGGGGGGACGGAGAAGGUUAGCUCAGCCGGGUGUUGGACGUCCCGGUUUAAGCGUGUAGGCGUGCUGCAUAGGCAAAUCCGUGCGGCUUAGCCAAGGCGUGAUGACGAGGAGCCAUUGGCUCUGAAGUGAGUGAUACCCUGCUUCCAGGAAAAGCCUCUAAGCUUCAGUCCGUGAUUGACCGUACCGCAAACCGACACAGGUGGGCAGGAUGAAAAUUCUAAGGCGCUUGAGAGAACCCAGGAGAAGGAACUCGGCAAAUUGACACCGUAACUUCGGGAGAAGGUGUGCCCCGGUAGUGUGUAGUCCCUCGCGGGCGAAGCACGAUGGGGUCGCAGAGAAUAGGUGGCUGCGAC